CCCUAUGGGGUGCCGACCUAUGGGGGCAACGACUAUUCCCUCAUCCUCCCGCGGGCUGCCCAGCAGAAGGGCAUGAUAGGUCUUGUUGACUCUUCUGGCCUUGAAAUCCGCCAUCAGGGUGCGUAAGGCAUGCUCGGUUUUCGCCACCAACAUGAUCCCGGAGGUGUCCUUGUCCAAACGAUGAACAAUCCCGGGACGCCCCUCUGCGGCGGCAGGCAAAUGGGAGCAUCGAUACGGCAGACCAUGCACCAAUGUGCCGCAGUGAUGUCCACCCGCCGGGUGGACAACCACCCCAGCAGGCUUGCUCACAACCAAAAUCUGCUCAUCCUCAUGAAGAACUGUGAAAUCGACUGGCUCAGGAACAAGAAAAUGUGGUGGCGGGAGGGC
Molecule: ribosomal RNA, 387 nt
Filed under: uncultured prokaryote
Description: partial 16S ribosomal RNA
Source: RNAcentral